Molecule: ribosomal RNA, 404 nt
Filed under: Cladosporium sp. 1T9B
Lineage: Eukaryota; Fungi; Ascomycota; Dothideomycetes; Cladosporiales; Cladosporiaceae
Description: eukaryotic LSU rRNA
Rfam family: 5.8S ribosomal RNA (bases 97-250)
Source: RNAcentral
CUCCGGGGCGACCCUGCCUUCGGGCGGGGGCUCCGGGUGGACACUUCAAACUCUUGCGUAACUUUGCAGUCUGAGUAAACUUAAUUAAUAAAUUAAAACUUUUAACAACGGAUCUCUUGGUUCUGGCAUCGAUGAAGAACGCAGCGAAAUGCGAUAAGUAAUGUGAAUUGCAGAAUUCAGUGAAUCAUCGAAUCUUUGAACGCACAUUGCGCCCCCUGGUAUUCCGGGGGGCAUGCCUGUUCGAGCGUCAUUUCACCACUCAAGCCUCGCUUGGUAUUGGGCAUCGCGGUCCGCCGCGUGCCUCAAAUCGACCGGCUGGGUCUUCUGUCCCCUAAGCGUUGUGGAAACUAUUCGCUAAAGGGUGUUCGGGAGGCUACGCCGUAAAACAACCCCAUUUCUAAGGU